GUGGGGAAUUUUGCGCAAUGGGGGAAACCCUGACGCAGCAACGCCGCGUGGAGGAUGAAAUCCCUUGGGAUGUAAACUCCUUUCGAUCGGGACGAUUAUGACGGUACCGGAAGAAGAAGCCCCGGCUAACUUCGUGCCAGCAGCCGCGGUAAUACGAGGGGGGCAAGCGUUGUUCGGAAUUAUUGGGCGUAAAGGGUGCGUAGGCGGUUUGACAAGUUCUAUGUGAAAUCUUUGGGCUCAACCCAUAGUCUGCAUGGAAAACUGUCGGGCUUGAGAAUGGGAGAGGUGAGUGGAAUUUCCGGUGUAGCGGUGAAAUGCGUAGAUAUCGGAAGGAACACCGGUGGCGAAAGCGGCUCACUGGACCAUUUCUGACGCUGAUGCACGAAAGCUAGGGGAGCAAACAGG
RNAcentral lists this ribosomal RNA (405 nucleotides) under uncultured Bryocella sp. Its description in RNAcentral is "bacterial SSU rRNA". It matches the Rfam family "Bacterial small subunit ribosomal RNA", at positions 354 to 776 of the family's 1533-position model. Lineage: Bacteria; Pseudomonadati; Acidobacteriota; Terriglobia; Terriglobales; Acidobacteriaceae. The record is from RNAcentral.